Molecule: non-coding RNA, 47 nt
Filed under: Trichobilharzia regenti
Lineage: Eukaryota; Metazoa; Platyhelminthes; Trematoda; Strigeidida; Schistosomatidae
Source: RNAcentral
AUACUGCCGAAGAGUCCAAAAACUAGGACGAAACAGCUUUCCAGUAC